Long non-coding RNA from Lactuca sativa (garden lettuce), 1311 nucleotides. RefSeq lists it as uncharacterized. Lineage: Eukaryota; Viridiplantae; Streptophyta; Magnoliopsida; Asterales; Asteraceae. The record is from RefSeq and is a predicted model, not a curated record.
GACAAAAUAGUACCAGAUGAUGAGUUACUUUAAUGUUGAUCAAUGGGGUCCAUCGAGUUUUUCUUUUUCUUGGGGACUACCCCUUCUUUGUCUGAUAAAGAGACUAGUGUCAUCUUCACAGUGUUUCUUCCCUUUGAUCUCUUCUAUAUGUUUUCUGCAAACCAUUAUCAUUAUUAAAUUACAACUACGUACCAAAGGUUUUUGGAAGUCACUAAUUGACGUUCUUAUUGCUCAGAAACAAGAUACUAUUUCAGGGUUUUCCUGUUUAUCUCAUAAUUAUUUAUCUUUUCUGACUCUGAUUCCUGAACUGGAUUUGCACAAAAUCCAAUGUGUAAUUCCAAGAUCUAGAGUUAGAAAUAUGGGAAGGUUAACAAGGGGUCCCUUUGAAAAGUUCUCCGGUGGACCCAACCUAAAUCUAAAGAAACAACGUUUAUCGAAGUUGUGUUUUUUUUUUCUUUAUAUUCCAUCUAUAAAGAAAGGUGGCACUCUUAUACAUCCCAUGUUAAAAGAAAAUCCCAUACUUUGUCUCUCUUCUUCUUCAUCACCACCACCUUGGCUCUGAAAUUCGAAUUGUAUAUGAGGUGGAGGGUGGCGUUAUAUAUUCUAACAGCGUUAAAAACAUGAUUGGGAGAAGGGUUUUGAAGGGAUAAUUAGAAGAUAGAAGAGAGUGUGUGAUGGGUAGGGUGGUUUUCAGAGCGGUUUUGUUGGUGGGAUUUUGCUGGUUUUUGUUGUUUGUGGUUUUGAAAACCGAUCAACUUCCAUUUAAUCCAAGUUUUGGUGGUUUUAAGUCAAGUUAUAAAGCAAGAAGGGAUCAAGAAGAGGGUUUGGUUUACGUGAGCAAGAGAAGAGUGCCCAAUGGACCUGAUCCUAUCCACAACAGGAGAACGAGAAACACAAGACAGCCUCCUGAUCGAGCCUAGAAAAGCUUAGAAGAAUCGUGUAUAUGGGUUAUGUUUGAUAAUGGAGCUAGGUGAUGCAUGUUCAUUCUUGAAAGAAGAAAGAAAGAAAAAAGAAAGAGAAAGGGUGAAGCUUUUUUAAGGUAUUUGAUGGGUGUGUGUUUCUUUUCUGUAAACUUUGAAUUCAAAGAUUCAUGGAUCGAUUGAGAUGUUUGCUUUUGCAUGAACUUUGAAGAUUUUAAAAAAGAAAAAAGAAAAAAAAAAAAAAAAAAAGGAAUGUAUUAAUUAGGAUGAGAUGAGAGGGAUACAUCAAUGUUGAGGGUCCCUUUUUGCAAACAUAUUUUUGUAGGUGGUAUGGUAUGUAAAGAUGAAUUUAUUUUGCUUUAAUUAGCUUUCAAUUCAAGGGUUGGCUUUA